RNAcentral lists this ribosomal RNA (253 nucleotides) under uncultured bacterium. Its description in RNAcentral is "partial 16S ribosomal RNA". It matches the Rfam family "Bacterial small subunit ribosomal RNA", at positions 524 to 776 of the family's 1533-position model. The record is from RNAcentral.
CACGUAGGGUGCGAGCGUUGUCCGGAAUUAUUGGGCGUAAAGCGCACGUAGGCGGCUUAGCAAGUCGGAAGUGAAAUCCCUCGGCUCAACCAAGGAAGUGCUUUCGAAACUGCUGAGCUUGAGUACUAAAGAGGAUCGCGGAAUUCCCGGUGUAGAGGUGAAAUUCGUAGAUAUCGGGAGGAACACCAGUGGCGAAGGCGGCGAUCUGGGUAGAUACUGACGCUGAGGUGCGAAAGCGUGGGGAGCAAACAGG